RNAcentral lists this long non-coding RNA (1399 nucleotides) under Pan paniscus (pygmy chimpanzee). Its description in RNAcentral is "lncRNA (ENSPPAG00000044531.1)". Lineage: Eukaryota; Metazoa; Chordata; Mammalia; Primates; Hominidae. The record is from RNAcentral.
CUCCUUUAAUUCAAUAACUUUGAGUUGCUCUUCUCACACUCAAGUACAAAUAACUAGACAUAGACACUUCACAGAUCAGCAGAUUAUUCUGCAUUGCCCUCUCAAUCUCACCUAUUUUUUUUAAGUUUUUUAAACUAUAACUCUUUUCUGUGCUAACAUAAAGCAAGCUUCCUUGGCCUUUUAGGCAAAAAUAUAACCUUGAGGAUCAUAUAACCUUGAGGAUCCCAAGUGAACUUGUCUUCACUUAAACUGGAGAGAUUACUCCUUGGAGGUUUUCUGUGUCACCAUGUCUUCCUUCGUCUCACUUUGCUCACUCCUAUUGGGUGAAGUGAGCUUCAUCUGGUAUUUUAUGAUUUGAGUGGUUAAUUCUUCUGAUUCUGAACAAAAGACUAUACUUCAUUCUGAUAAUUUGUACCCUCCAGGCUUUCCUCCUGAGUAGUUCCUUUCCAACCUCUUUGGAGAAUGAUGGGAAAAGUCUAUUUACUCAGUACUCCUCAUGGGUGAAAGCUCUUCCAAGCUAUAAAUAAAACAAAUUUAACUUGUACAGGGUUACUAAUGCUAUGGAGAGACAAAUAAAGGAGCUUGCUGCCUUCUGGCUGCAGGAAUCAGGCCAAGGAUUUUCACAAAAUAGCCCAGGACUCUAAUGUAUGAAGAGUCUUAUUAUGAUAAGAAUUUAACAAUAAUAAUUCCAUUUUUGUUGCAGACAUUCUUACUAAAAAGAAAGAACACCGAAAUUGACCUUACCCUGACAAUAUGAUGGCUGAAGGAUUUAUGAUCACUUAUAACAUUUGAAAUUGAGGCAGAACCUGAAGAAUAUGACUCUGGUGAAAGGUCCUAUUUAUGCUUUUGAUGUCUUUCACUUGGACAUUUACCACAUGCCUAUUGAUGGCCGGUUUGACACAAAUUAGAACAACCUUGAUAGCUGUCAACUGGAGACUAUCUGAGAACAAAAGGACAUUAUUGCAAACCAGCACUGGAGGUAAUUUCAUGUGCUUUCUCUGAAGACUUCUUAAUGGCCUUUGAGAAAUAACACAAUUCAGAUCUGCAACCAGGAGGCAGGGUAGAUGUUGGACAGCAUGGGAAACAUGUGACUUGGACUUUAGAUCCUACCAUCUAGGGGUUAGGAGUAUUACCAUUAGAAAAUAGAAAUAUCUAUUUUUCAUUUCACACAUAUUAAUUAAUUCAUCUAAUUAGAAACACUCAUUGGGAACCUACCAUGUGCCAGAUAGUAUGAAUGUGGUGAGGAUACACCAAUGAAUAAGACAUGGUCCUGUUGUAAUUUUAUAGUAUAAUAGGGAUGGGAAGUAGGGAUGUUGAUACAUUAAAAUAUACUUUCGAUUCACUGAGAUAUAUGAAAUAGCAGAGGAAGAAUUUAGAAAGUAUAAUUAGUAUUUCUGGU